RNAcentral lists this ribosomal RNA (617 nucleotides) under uncultured bacterium. RNAcentral describes it as "partial 16S ribosomal RNA". It matches the Rfam family "Bacterial small subunit ribosomal RNA", at positions 778 to 1249 of the family's 1533-position model. The record is from RNAcentral.
UUAGAUACCCUAGUAGUCCACGCCGUAAACGAUGAAUACUAGGUGUCGGGGGUUCACGGACGCCCGGUGCCGCAGCAAACGCAAUAAGUAUUCCACCUGGGGAGUACGUUCGCAAGAAUGAAACUCAAAGGAAUUGACGGNGACCCGCACAAGCGGUGGAGCAUGUGGUUUAAUUCGAAGNCACGCGAAGAAACCUACCANGUCUUGACAUCCCUCUGACGCACACGUAACGGUGUGUUUACUCCGGUACAGAAGAAACAGGUGGUGCAUGUUUGCCUUCAACUCUGGGCUGGAAAUGGUUGGGUUAAUUCCCCAAAAGAACCCCACCCCUUUGUCCUUAUUUCCCCCCCUUUUAAAGGGGGGGCCCUUUUGGGAAAAACACCGGGGAAACCCCCGAAAAAAGGGGGGGGUUUAACAUCUAAAAUUUUUUUUUCCCCCCUUAAAAAUGGGGGGUCACCACCGGGCUUAUAGGGGGGAAUUUCAAAAGGGGGGGCCCCCCCGGGCUGGGUGUCCCCAAACACAAAAAAAAAAGUCCUCCUCCGUGGGUGUUUGGGGGGGGGGCCUCACCCCCCCGCCUUCGGGNCGCUCUUGGCUUGGCCGGAUAAUAAAAAAAGAAA